RNAcentral lists this ribosomal RNA (253 nucleotides) under uncultured bacterium. RNAcentral's name for it is "partial 16S ribosomal RNA". It matches the Rfam family "Bacterial small subunit ribosomal RNA", at positions 524 to 776 of the family's 1533-position model. The record is from RNAcentral.
UACAGAGGUCCCAAGCGUUGUUCGGAUUCACUGGGCGUAAAGGGUGCGUAGGCGGUCGGGUAAGUCUGAUGUGAAAUCUCACAGCUUAACUGUGAAACUGCAUUGGAUACUAUUCGGCUUGAGAGUUGGAGGGGGGACUGGAAUUCUUGGUGUAGCAGUGAAAUGCGUAGAUAUCAAGAGGAACACCGGUGGCGAAGGCGAGUCCCUGGACAACUUCUGACGCUGAGGCACGAAAGCUAGGGGAGCAAACAGG